Molecule: non-coding RNA, 2163 nt
Organism: Erythranthe guttata (spotted monkey flower)
Lineage: Eukaryota; Viridiplantae; Streptophyta; Magnoliopsida; Lamiales; Phrymaceae
Source: RefSeq, a predicted model, not a curated record
GAAAAUGCAAAUAAUGAAAAAAUACAGCCAUAUCUUUCUUUCGUUUCUUCAUCACACAACAUUCUGUUACUCUCUCCGCUCUCUUUCUCUCGAUCUCUACCAAUUCUCGCAUAAUGUUACAGAAAAUCAAGAAAAAAUUAUCUCUUAAUUUCUUCAUUGUGUUUGCACCAAAAUCCCUCUUAUAUUACCUCUUUUGUUUUCCCCAAAAGUAUUCGCCUAUUUCACCCAAUUUCCCCAAGCCCUACUUCCUAUCCCUAUUCAAAAAAAUUCGAAUUCUAUAAGGGAGAUUCGGAAGAUUUGAUUACAGGAAAAGAAUUGGGGAUUUGAAAAGAUAAUUUCAGAUUUGGGUUUUAAGGAAAAACAAUGGUUUGGAGACCUUCGAGAAUGAAUCGACGGGCAUACAGAGCGGUGCUGAGAGCAACACGUCAGACUUUUGCCGGCGACACCAUUAUGCUCCGUGAGUCCGCCGCCAAAGCCCGGAAGAAAUUCGAGGAGAACUGUCUCGUGACCUCCCCUGCCGAUCUCAACCGCCAUCUCGAGGAGGCGAAUGAGGCCACCCGCUUCAUCUCAACCAUGAUCGUUCAGGCCAAGCUCAACGAUCGCGGAGGUUAUGGUGUUUGUCAAAAGUUCUAUUGGGCAAGACACUACUUAUCAUGGCUUAUUAUCUUAAACAAUGAACAAAAAAUUGCACGCCGAAAUUUGGUAUGAAAUUCAGCCUGCUCGCCGGAAAGGGUAAUAAAAUCUGCUACGCAUCUGUUUUCGGAGCCAAAAUCGAAGGGUUUGGAGUGUGAAUUUGGGAAUCAUUCCUUCUCAAAACUCGUAGAGGACCUCGAAAACUGUGCGUCAUUCGUGGUUGUGUACCUAAGAAAAUUCGGUCUAUGAUGUUGCUUUUGGUGCUAACUCGAGCUAUGUUGGCGAAAUUCUGAGAAAUAGUAAACCAUCUGCCGCACCUGUUUUCGGAGUCGAAAUCAAAGGGUUUGGAGUGAGAUUUUCGAAUCAGCCUCUUCACAAAACUCGUCGAGGACCUUGAUAAUUAUAUGUAAGUGUUAAAUUGCUUCUAAUUCGAGCAAGUUUUAUAGCCUUUUAGAUAUGAGAAUUUGACGGCAGUGAGUCUGCCAAAAACAGGGCAGUUUUGAUGAAUCAUAUUCUUUGGGUUUUAUUACCGUCUUAGGAUAAUAAUUUGGGAUAUAUUUAUUAAGUAAACUUUUAGAUGAAGUUUUCAGCUUUGAUUUGGUAUAUUGUUUGGACAAUUUGGAUAACUUUACAAAUAGUUAUGAAUUUUACACUAAAUUGUACCAGAAAAGAGAAUUUAUCCGAAAUUCUGGCAGUUUUCUGUAAUCAUCUUUUGGGCCUGUUUUGAAUAUGCUGGGAUCAUAAUUUGUGAUCAGAGUCUUCAGUGAACAUGUAGAUGCAGUUGUUAGCUUUCAUUUGGCAUAUUACGUUCCCAAUUUGGAUAAUCGUACCAAUUGUUAUGAUUUUUCAAAGAAAUUGUGGAAACAAAUGUUUUAAACCUUUGUUUCGAGAACUUGUCAAACAAACACGAGUCAACUCCGUACCAUGUGAAUUGGUGCCUGGAGUGUGUUGUAUUUGGUAAAUAGAACGCCAUAGAAAUUGUGUAUUAUGUUCGAUUGUCAAUUAUGGCAUAAGAUUUAAGUUAGGAUGUUUAUAUGAAAUAGAACCGAAUAGUAAACGAUUAUGUUAACAUUCGAUAACUUAUUUAAUUCUAAUAUUUGAUAGGUGUUGAGUAUAUUUACAGUGGUUCAUUGAACGCAAAUCGUUCUUUUCUCGACUCUUGGACCAUUUAGGAUUAUUGUAUUUCGAUAGUGAGCGUCACAAUUUUAUUCUUUGGUACCAUAUAUUUUGUUCUCUCUUUUGUUACUACAAGAAGCUGGCUUUUUGUUUGACAUGUAUAAAUUUAAACAAUACUCUUAUUUUAGAUGGAGCUGAUACAGAAAAUAAUAUUAGAUUAUCGGGUGUUGCUCACGUUUAUACGAGAUUUAUUUAUCGUGGAUCCAAGUUGGACUGUUUGAUGAAGUGAAAGAACGUUAUCGUGGAAGUCAUAUUUGUUGUCGCUUAACAAUUUAUGAAAUGGAGUUUAUAAUGAAAUAAUUAUAGUAAUAUUUCUUAUUAUUUGGAAUGAUUGAUUUAUUAUUGUAUUUAGUA